GCAUCAAUAGCUCAGUGGCAGAGCGGUGAGGCAUCAAUCCAUUUGGCCUGGGUUCGAGCCCCAGUCGAUGCA
This is a non-coding RNA of Phthorimaea operculella (potato tuberworm), 72 nucleotides long. NCBI's taxonomy places the organism in Eukaryota, Metazoa, Arthropoda, Insecta, Lepidoptera, Gelechiidae. The record is from the annotation of a GenBank genome assembly.